This 132-nucleotide small RNA is filed under the name Klebsiella quasipneumoniae. RNAcentral's name for it is "RtT sRNA". It matches the Rfam family "RtT RNA". Rfam says of the family: This family represents a bacterial cis-regulatory element known as RtT RNA. The exact function of RtT is unknown although it is thought that it may be involved in changing the cellular response in relation to amino acid starvation. Lineage: Bacteria; Pseudomonadati; Pseudomonadota; Gammaproteobacteria; Enterobacterales; Enterobacteriaceae. The record is from RNAcentral.
UACUCUGCCCCACGGGGAAGGAUGAGAAGCUUCGACUAAGGUUCGACUCGAGCGUAGCGAGAGAACGUUGCCGCAGGCAACGGCCCGAAGGGCGAGGCGCUUUAGCGCCGAGUCAUCCUUCCCCCACCACCA